AGAAUCAACGCUGGCGGCGUGCCUAACACAUGCAAGUCGCACGAGAAAGGGGAGCAAUCCCUGAGUAAAGUGGCGCACGGGUGAGUAACACGUGAAUAAUCUACCUCCGAGUGAGGAAUAACUGAGAGAAAUCUUAGCUAAUACCGCAUAACACUUACGAGUCAAAGCAGCAAUGCGCUUGGAGAGGAGUUCGCGGCCGAUUAGUUAGUUGGCGGGGUAAUGGCCCACCAAGACGAUGAUCGGUAUCCGGCCUGAGAGGGCGCACGGACACACUGGAACUGAAACACGGUCCAGACUCCUACGGGAGGCAGCAGUGGGGAAUUUUGCGCAAUGGGGGAAACCCUGACGCAGCAACGCCGCGUGGAGGAUGAAGCCCCUUGGGGUGUAAACUCCUUUCGAUCGGGAAGAUAAUGACGGUACCGAUAUAAGAAGCCCCGGCUAACUUCGUGCCAGCAGCCGC
RNAcentral lists this ribosomal RNA (460 nucleotides) under uncultured bacterium. Its description in RNAcentral is "SSU rRNA". It matches the Rfam family "Bacterial small subunit ribosomal RNA", at positions 26 to 518 of the family's 1533-position model. The record is from RNAcentral.